GGACAUGGACAUGGCAGUGGCGAUGUGCUGCUCCCUCAGUACCAAGUUAAACGUAUUAGUAAACUAACAUGGAACCGACAGAGUGACAGGACAGACGUUCCCAACCUGUGCUUCUUACUUUGGGUAACAUCUUUGCUUUCAUGGGAAAUGACAUUUUCUCCGGAAACAGUAAGAAUGCUAUUAGCCUGCUUGCAAGGCACAGUUGCUCCAGCAGUUGAGAGCGGGCCAGAGGUCCAGGACAGUCUGUGGAUGUUCAUUAAGAGGUGGUGAAAAAAAGUGAAGCCAUUGUUUAUCUUUCUUUCCCCUGAGCAUUCUUCCACCAGGCUCUCUGCAGACCUGAUUCUUUGCUGCCUCCAGCCGAACACUCUUAUUAUUUUCCUUAAACUUCUGUUUAUGCCGUUACCUGUAUUUUUGCAGCAAAUUUUAUCUGCUAGGUAGAGUGAAAAGGCCUGCUGUAAUAGAUACUGUCGCUUUUGUUUUUGUCCUCCCUCCAAAUCAUAGAGUUGGAUUUCAUCACUUGUAACAAACCUCAGCAGCCUCUUCGGGUUUUGUUUGGGGCUGCUUGCUUUGUUUCCUGAUUUACUGGGUUUUGUCUUCACUGGCUUAAUGCUCACAAGCACAGAACAGACAGGCAAACCAAAUAAGCAAAAAUUUAACUAGGGUACUGCAGCCUGUGAACUGACAAACCCACUCUGUGUGACAGCGCUGACUAGAAGUGGGUGUUUUUGCAGCUAAGUGCACAAUAAUCUAUUUGCACUGGUCACAGGCGGUUGCUGGGCAAGGGAAGUUUGCAUAUCUCCAGUGUUAGAUAUGUGCAGCUGGAGGACGGAUGGUGGAUUCUGGUACCUCCUGACUUGGUGAAUGGUCCAUACCAAUUUCUCUUCUUUCAUAUCUGCUUUGCUUUUAAACAUGUCUCUUCCUGGAAACUGACCUCACUCGAUCGUGGGGAUUCCCGACUCUCUGUCCAGUGACCUACUUGAGAUAUAUUUGGUCCUUGAAACAGGGUGUCUAUGUGCCUCCUCCUGGGAUCUGCCUUGCCUUAAGCCAGUGGUCUCACGUUGCCUGUGACAUCUAUUUAAGGAAGGAAUGACAGUGACAGCUGUAGCACUUUAGCCAGAGGUUCUCAAACCCACAUGGCCCUAGUCUCUUGUUAAAAUGCAGGUCCUGACUGAUACUACUGGUAUGAGUUUGGAUUUAUGUAUGUUUUGCAGUCAUGGAGACAUUAUUAAUAUUGCUGGUGGGCCACACCGAAGACAUAAGACACCAGAAGGGAAGGAAGCUGGACUGUCUCACUGCAUUUAGAUAUAAAUGGAUACUACAGAAAGCAAAUCGCAUCUCGUGGCUCCUCACCCCAUAUCCAUGAAUAUCUACAAGGGCAGCACAAACCAGGCUUAGCGGGUUAUUUAAAGAAGAGGGGGACAUGAAAUUGACAAGGUGGGUUCAGGGAGAGUCAAGUGUAUAUACUUGUAUGAAAUUCUCAAUAAAAAGUAUUAUAUUUAAAGACAUCUGAGUCAUUACUGCAAGUGUUGAGAAGUGUGUGUCAUUUGUCUUCUGACUUCCUUUCUAUCAGUGUAGCCUGGCUGGCCUAGAACUCCCUUGUAGAACAGGCUAGUCUCAAACUCAGAGAUCCACCCGCCUCUGGCCCCAAGUGCUGGGAGUGAACGAUGCGCCACCACACCCAGCUCUCGGACCACUGUAGAGUUAGCUCCUUGCUGAUCUUUCCUUAAGGUGGUAACUGGCAUUGAGCUGUGUGAUUAAUGAGAACCAAGCAAAGGGCCACUGAGCCCUUUUGCUGAGUUGCCCUCAUGCCUGUCCUCUAUAGACCUGUCAGUCUGCCCUGUUUCUCAGAGCCCAUCUCUACUUUCUGUUCCUCAUUCCUGUCCUAGGUCUUACCAGCCUUCCAUAGCCGGUAUCUCAUACAACUCUGCCUUCUUGCAAUCCCCCUUCCUCUCCUUAGAAAACAUCUUCCAGUCCAGGUGUGAUCGUAUCACUCCCUGGAUCCAAAUCACUCCCUGGCUCUGUAUUAAUUACAAGGUGAAAUAUAAACUGCCUAGCCUACCAGAUGAUAGCCUUCCUUAAUCAGCCUAUGACCUCUGUGGAAAACAUCCCCUGUGCUCUCUCUUCUGGACACUAGAGCCGUCACAGAGUUUCAAAUAAGCCAGGGUCUUCUCAAACAUUCCCUCUCCACUCAUGCGAGCUGGGCCUGCAGCUCUCUGAUCACUUUGGGGGGUGGGG
RNAcentral lists this long non-coding RNA (2235 nucleotides) under Mus musculus (house mouse). Its description in RNAcentral is "long non-coding RNA chr9:47771140-47773375". The record is from RNAcentral. Lineage: Eukaryota; Metazoa; Chordata; Mammalia; Rodentia; Muridae.